ACAACACUUGGACUAGAAUACAAAAAUCAAACAAAAGAAAGAGAAAGAUACUUAGAAUUGAAGAACAAGUCAAAAAUGGAGCAGCAACGAUUGUGAAAUAUGAAUAGGCAAAAACAUAAACUUCUCAAGCGGCAAAAUAGGUAAAACAAGUUAAUCAAAUAUGCCACUUAACUAAUGAUACGUAGUAGAAGUUAUUAUGGCAACGUUAGUAAAAUCCUAAUAUAGUUGUGGUACUUAAAACUAGAAAGAUGUGUUCAAAUAAUGAAGCAAUGCAUACAAAACACACUAUUAAAU
RNAcentral lists this long non-coding RNA (294 nucleotides) under Gossypium barbadense (sea-island cotton). Its description in RNAcentral is "long non-coding RNA (GBAR_LNC015251)". Lineage: Eukaryota; Viridiplantae; Streptophyta; Magnoliopsida; Malvales; Malvaceae. The record is from RNAcentral.